GCCCCGUUCGUCUAGUUGGCCUAGGACGCAAGAUUUUCAUUCUUGAAAUCAGGGGUUCGAAUCCCCUACGGGGUAC
RNAcentral lists this transfer RNA (76 nucleotides) under bioreactor metagenome. RNAcentral describes it as "tRNA-Glu". It matches the Rfam family "tRNA". Rfam says of the family: Transfer RNA (tRNA) molecules are approximately 80 nucleotides in length. Their secondary structure includes four short double-helical elements and three loops (D, anti-codon, and T loops). The record is from RNAcentral.